Molecule: long non-coding RNA, 3888 nt
Organism: Brassica napus (rape)
Lineage: Eukaryota; Viridiplantae; Streptophyta; Magnoliopsida; Brassicales; Brassicaceae
Exons: 2
Source: RefSeq, a predicted model, not a curated record
AUAAAAGAGAAACAAACACAACCAUACCAAGAGAUACAAGAGACAAUCCCAACAGACACAAAGGCGGCAACAACAUUUCCACCUACUCACUCCUCUUGUCUUAUGAAAAUAGCUUACAUGUUCAAUGUCAACGGGCCAAUGUUAUUGUCUUCUUAUGAAAAAUACAUAUAUUCGUUUAAAACCCAUUAAGGUCCAAAUACUAAUUGUCACUCAUUUUAUAGUUAUUUCUACAAGUUUUCAUGUAUUUGUUUUAAAGGUCCGGUAAAAGCAACAAGUUUAAAAAUAAAAAAAAAACAUAUAACCAACAUAAUAAGAAUAAAAAUAAUUAUUACUUAAUACACACAACUUACACAACUAAACUUGAGAAAAAAUAUUCACAAACAAAAGGUACUCUCAACAACCUUAAUAUAAUUUAUGUAAUUUCAACAAUACAAGUAACAAAUUAAAAAAAACAAACAAACAAUAAGUCACAGUGACACAGGAAACAACACCACGAACUAUAUCAAUCAUAUUACUAAAACAUUUUAGUCCUUUAUGAGUGGAGAACAAUGCAUACACAAUUCAUCAUCACAACUCUAACCAUAUAACAAUAAAAAACUUGAAAAAUAAUAGUCAACUCAAAACGUAAAAUUUACAGCUACAAUAACUAUAACUAUAAGAAAUGAGAUGAAACAAGAACUCGGUCUACAAUCCCGUACUUGUGCGGAGUCAAUGUAACUAGUAAUAAUAAUGGCUCAUGAAAUUUUUCGAGACUGUACUAAAUAGCAAAGUCAACAUUUUCGUCUUAUACAACCACAUUGAAUCCGUAAUAAAUAAACCGAAUUUAUUGAAUCAAAGACAAAUAAAUCGUUGGUUUCAAUAGUAGUAAAAAGUCUGCAUGGUAAAAUUCUAUCUAUUCAAAUAUAUAUAUAUAUAUAUUAGUAUUAUUAUUUUUCUUACCAUAUGAUAGCAUAAAUUCUAUUCUAUAUAUUUUCUAUAAUCUGAAACUAUAAUAGUAAACAAUCUUAAAAGAAAAUAUAUUUUUCUUGAAGACCAUCUUUUUUAUAUUUACAAUUUGCAUUCCUUGUACUUUGCAAAGCUGUUUUUUUGUGUUAUGUAUAUUUCUUCAACUUCCUCUUUUUAGAUAUUCCUUUCAUCAUUUCCCCUAUCUCACAAAGAAUUAGUUCACAAAUUUUUUCCUUCUCUUUCAACAUUUAGGUGUACAUACAUUAUGAGCAAAAUAUUUAUUUUCAUCUCUAAGGAUAAACUAGAUUUUGAUCCGCGUUUUCAAAGCGCGGGAUCGUUUCCUUUUAAAUUUCAUUUAAAAUUGAUAAUAUUGUCUAACUUAAUAUUUUCAUAGAUUUUAUGUUUGUUUAUAGUCAAUUUCAAUAAAUUGUCCUCUUUCUUUACUAUUAUAAUUUUGCAUAUAUUUUAUGUUUGUUUAUAAAAGUGUCCUAUUUUUAUUAUAUUACUUUAUAAAUGAUCGUUCAAGUUUCCAAAAUGCUUAUUAAUUUUUUUCAAAGAUUUUAAAAUUGUAUACUUCUAAAUUCUAAUCAAUAAAUAUAAUUAUAUUUUAAUUUCUUAAUAAACUAUUAUAUUACAGAUUUCAUAAGCAUUUAAGUUUUUCAUUAUACAUAUUUCAACUAAGACAUAAAAUUUAAAUUAUAAUAAAACUUCAAUAAUUAUGGAUUUAAAAUGGAUUUAUAAUAUUCAUAAAAAACAAAACACUUUAGCGCUUGGUUUUAGUUGGGUUUAGUUUUGGUCAGACUAAAAUACUAACAAUUAGGUAUUUAGGUUAAGAGUAUAUUUAGGAAAACAUGUGCAGUAUGUUCUAAAAUAUAUACUUGAUAGGUUUUCUGAAUCAAAAUAUAGUUAGUAUCAUUACUGAGGUCAAUAUUUGCGGAUCCUAUAUUAAUAAUUAGCAAAUUGGGUGACAUUAUUUUGGUAACAUAUAUUACAUAUUUUUUAGACAUUCCGAUUUUUUUUCUAAAUACAAUUGAGAUGGUUGGCCAAGUUAAUUAAGUUAAACUCGCAGAAUAUCGUAGUGUCCAUAUAUUAAGGAAGUUGAAAUUGAUAUUUUACGAUUUUCUUGGUCAUCUUUAUUGAUUUUGUUUGUUACCCAAAAUUUAAAUUCUUGAAUUAACAAACAAAAAAUGAAAAUAUCUUAAAAUGAUGAAUGCUAUUCUUUAUUUCGUUAUUCACAUUAUAAAUUCAUUUGGACUACUUUAUAUUUCAUGAUCUUUGUAAAAAAAAUUCAUAGUGCUUUGCUCUCAAACAUGUUAAACAUAUCAUAAGCACUAAGUCAAACAAUAAGUGUUACAACAAUUAAUAAGGUUAAAUAAUAAUUGUAUAUAUUAGAAUUAUGCUUCUAUGGUUUGUAUAGUUACGAGUAUAUGCUUUCAACACAAACGUUAAUAAUUGUAUUAUGGAGUUCGGUUUUAUUUUUGGCAUAAGUAACGCUGAUAAAUGCUGUUGCAUUCAUUGUUAUUGGCUAUUAUAUUCUUCAUUCUGAUUGGUUUAUUAUGCUGGCCGAAUUUAAUCAAUAAAAUUAAUGUUAAUAAAAAAAAACAAUGGUAUGCCAUUGUAAAUAACUUCAAAAGUACGGACAGAAUCCUAGUAGGAAUUCAAUUUUAAUAGUAUAGAUAACUGAAGAUAGAUUUGAAGCCAAUCAUUCCUAGACUCUUUUUGAAAAUCUUUCAAUAUUUUAUUUAUAGUUUAAACCAUUGAACUGGAAAAUGGCCAAAACCAGUCCAAUGUAUUCAAAUAUGGUCAAUUCAUACCCAUCGAAUAUGACAGUGCCGAAACAUACCCGGACUAUUUUUAACUGAAAUUACAUACCUAAACAAUCUUUUUUGUGCCAAAACCUUCAAACAUAGCUUAAUAUGUUAACACCUGUUAAUCCACCGUUAACACAAACUUAAUUAAGUAUUACAUUUUUAGACAAAAUCUUUGUAAUUGAAACAAGAACCAAAACUCUUCUCGUCUCUUAUAAAAAACGAACAAAAGAUCCAAAAUGGAAGUAAUCAUAGUUUCUUAAUCGUAGAUUGAUAAAAGUCUUUGUAGUUUGUGUCUGAAACUCUUUCCAACAAUGGAUUCGAUGAGUGCCCCUUUUGAAGCAUGUUACACAUUAUACCACAAAGGAAAGUUUGAAGUGAAAGAUGGUAUCACUUGUUGAUAUUGUAUGUCCUCUCGAGACGAUGUUUACAAAGUUCUCGGAGGCAAUCUGUAUAUCAUUUGUCUUUUGUUGAUUAUCAGCACAAAUCUUGUAUGUUAAAUCUUGAUUAUCAGCUCAAGAUCACUGGCAAAUCUUGUUCAUUAGAACAAACAAACAACAGAUAAAUCAAACCUUACUCAAACUCUCUUUCCAAGUCAACGUAAGCCAUUAAUUCUCAUCACAAGAAAGUCUUUAAACGAUCUCUUUGGGGAGAGAGGGUUUAAAUCAACGAUGUUUUGUCCAGAUCUUGUUAGUAUCACAAAGUAAAACGACAUCGUUUUUUUUUAACAGACACAUAAGCUUCCGUCCACAAUCCGUUUGCCAGAUGUCAAAAUUGAAGGUUUUGGCCGAAAAAAGAUCGUUUAGGUAUGUAAUUUCAGUUAAAAAUAGUUUGGGUAUGUUUCGGCACUCUCAUAUUCGCUGGGUAUGGAUUGAUCAUAUUUGAAUACAUUGGUUUUGGCCGUUUUAACCUAUCUCUUUAAUCUACUUGUAACAUAUUGGGGAUGAUUGGUGUUGGAUGUGAGUGCUCUACGCAGCCAUUAUUCUCUCUAGAACAAUAAAAUCAAAGCAAUUAAGCUUUAUUAAUAAAAACUAAAGAUAAAGUCCAAAAUCUUUAAAAGAAAAUAUAAUGGCUCUAGAAAUCAAUUUUUGUACGAAUUUAGGUUUAAACUUUAACGUAAACACUAGUAUUAAAA